RNAcentral lists this ribosomal RNA (508 nucleotides) under uncultured bacterium. RNAcentral describes it as "partial 16S ribosomal RNA". It matches the Rfam family "Bacterial small subunit ribosomal RNA", at positions 28 to 523 of the family's 1533-position model. The record is from RNAcentral.
GAUGAACGCUAGCUACAGGCUUAACACAUGCAAGUCGAGGGGAAACGAUAUUGGAAGCUUGCUUCCGAUAGGCGUCGACCGGCGCACGGGUGAGUAACGCGUAUCCAACCUGCCCAUCACUUGGGGAUAACCUUGCGAAAGUAAGACUAAUACCCAAUGAUAUCUCUAGAAGACAUCUGAAAGGGAUUAAAGAUUUAUCGGUGAUGGAUGGGGAUGCGUCUGAUUAGCUUGUUGGCGGGGUAACGGCCCACCAAGGCGACGAUCAGUAGGGGUUCUGAGAGGAAGGUCCCCCACAGUGGAACUGAGACACGGUCCAAACUCCUACGGGAGGCAGCAGUGAGGAAUAUUGGUCAAUGGGCGAGAGCCUGAACCAGCCAAGUAGCGUGCAGGAUGACGGCCCUAUGGGUUGUAAACUGCUUUUAUAAGAGAAUAAAGUGGGAGUCGUGACUCCUUUUGCAUGUACCUUAUGAAUAAGGACCGGCUAAUUCCGUGCCAGCCGCCGCCGUAA